This 450-nucleotide ribosomal RNA is filed under the name uncultured bacterium. Its description in RNAcentral is "partial 16S ribosomal RNA". It matches the Rfam family "Bacterial small subunit ribosomal RNA", at positions 338 to 795 of the family's 1533-position model. The record is from RNAcentral.
CCUACGGGAGGCUGCAGUAAGGAAUAUUGGACAAUGGCCGCAAGGCUGCUCCAGCCAUGCCGCGUGCAGGAAGAAGGCCCUAUGGGUCGUAAACUGCUUUUGAACGGGAGAAAACCCUUGCUCGUGAGCGAGGCUGAUAGUACCGUUAGAAUAAGCAUCGGCUAACUUCGUGCCAGCAGCCGCGGUAAGACGAAGGAUGCAAGCGUUAUCCGGUUUCAUGGGGUUUAAAGGGAGCGUAGGCGUCAGUGGAGAAAUCUGUGGGCGUAACCCACAAACUGCCAUUGAUACUGAAGGUCUAGAGUACAGUGGACGUUGGCGGAAUAUGACAUGUAGUGGUGAAAUACUUAGAUAUGUCAUAGAACACCGAUUGCGAAGGCAGCUAACGAAGCUGUAACUGACGCUGAGGCUCGAAAGUGCGGGGAUCAAACAGGAUUAGAUACCCCAGUAGUC